This 268-nucleotide long non-coding RNA is filed under the name Lathyrus oleraceus (garden pea). Its description in RNAcentral is "Pisum sativum (pea) long non-coding RNA (PSAT_LNC007288)". Lineage: Eukaryota; Viridiplantae; Streptophyta; Magnoliopsida; Fabales; Fabaceae. The record is from RNAcentral.
AAAAGAGAAACAUCUGUUUUGUAAAUAUGAUGUGAAAGAAAAGAAAAAAAAUAGAGAAAAUAAAAAUGAAUGCUUGCUUGGAAGAAAAAUAGUGAAAAACAAAAAUUGAGUUGUGAAAUAAGAGUUGUGAAGGUUUCAAAUGAGAAAUAAAUGGAACGAAGUUGAGAUGUGUGAAUAAUGUACAGUGAAUGUCUCUUUUGCAUCGGCAAUUUCGUUUUCAAUGGCCUUAGAAAUGACCCUUGUUUGUUAACCUAACCAAGCUUCAACC